AAAUAUUUGCUAAGUGAUAAAGGAUGUAUUUGGACGUAGACAACCAGGAGGUUUGCUUAGAAGCAGCCAAGUUCCUUUAAAAAGUGCGUAAUAGCUUACUGGUCAAGUCCAUUUGCGCCGAUAAUGUAUGGGACUAAGCAUUUUGCCGAAGCUGUGAGUUAAACGGUAGGAGAGCGUUCUGUUUGGGAUGAAGUAGUGGUGUAAGCCUCUAUGGACUUAACAGAAGUGAGAAUGUCGGCUUAAGUAACGAAAAUACUGGUGAGAAUCCAGUACUCCGAAAACCGAAGGAUUCCUUUGCAAGGUUCGUCCACAAAGGGUUAGUCAGGUCCUAAAAUAAAGCUAAAAAGCGUAGUUGAUGGGAAACAGGUUAAUAUUCCUGUACUGCACCUAGUUUGGUUAAGGGUGACGAAAAAGGUUAAGGUCAGCCAGUAGUUGGUAUUUGGUUUAAACUUUUGAGGUGAUGAAGAAUAUUAGUAAAGGAUAUUCUGAGCUGAGAAGUGAACACUUUUUUACUACGGUAGAGAAGUGACCGAAAUCAUGUUUCCUAGAAAAACCCUAGUAAUUUCAUUAACUAGAAUGCACCUGUACCGUAAACUGACACAGGUCGGUGGGUAGAGCAUACUGAGGAGCGCGAGAUAACCCUUUUUAAGGAACUCGGCAAAAUAGCCUUGUAACUUCGGGAGAAAAGNUGCCUUGGCGAUGAGUCAAGGUUGCAGUGAUCAGAUCCAGGCGACUGUUUAUCAAAAACACAGGUCUCCGCAAAGUUGAAAUACUAUGUAUGGGGGCUGACGCCUGCCCAGUGCCGGAAGGUGAAGGAAACUUGUUAGCUUUCGCGAAGCUCGUGACUUAAGCCCCGGUGAACGGCGGCAGUAACUAUAACUGUCCUAAGGUAGCGAAAUUCCUUGUCGGGUAAGUUCCGACCUGCACGAAAGGCGUAACGAUCUGGAUACUGUCUCAAAAAGGGACUCGGUGAAAUAGAAUUAACUGUGAAGAUGCGGUUAACUUACACUUGGACAGAAAGACCCUAUGAAGCUUUACUGUAAUUUGAAAUUGAUUUUCGACUUUCUUUGCGCAGAAUAGGUGGGAGGCUUUGAUAUUUUCUUUUCGGGGAAAAAGGAGCCAUCAGUGAGAUACCACUUUAAGGGAGUUAAAAAUCUAAUUACGUUUCAUUAUAUGGACGUUUGACCAUUUCAGAUGGGCAGUUUUACUGGGGCGGUAGCCUCCUAAAAGGUAACGGAGGCGUACAAAGGUUUUCUCAAACUGGUCGGAAAUUAGUUUUGGAGUGCAAAGACAUAAGAAAGCUUAACUGUUAGACCUAUAAGUCGAGCAGUGACGAAAGUCGGUCUUAGUGAUCCGACGUUGCUUAAUGGGAAGGACGUCGCUCAACAAAUAAAAGUUACUCUAGGGAUAACAGGCUGAUCUCCCCCAAGAGUUCACAUCGACGGGGAGGUUUGGCACCUCGAUGUCGGCUCAUCGCAACCUGGAGCGGUAGUACGUUCCAAGGGUUGGGCUGUUCGCCCAUGAAAGCGGUACGUGAGCUGGGUUCAGAACGUCGAGAGACAGUUCGGUCCAUAUCCGGUGUAAGCGGUGGAGCAUUGAAAGGAACUUUUUCUAGUACGAGAGGACCGAAAAGGACACACCAAUGGUGUACCAGUUCUUGUGCCAACAGGAAAUGCUGGGUAGCUAUGUGUGGA
Molecule: ribosomal RNA, 1694 nt
Filed under: Lepocinclis caudata
Lineage: Eukaryota; Euglenozoa; Euglenophyceae; Euglenales; Phacaceae
Description: partial large subunit ribosomal RNA
Rfam family: Bacterial large subunit ribosomal RNA
Source: RNAcentral